AACGCACAUUGCGCCCUUUGGUAUUCCAAAGGGCAUGCCUGUUUGAGCGUCAUUUCUCCCUCAAACCCUCGGGUUUGGUGUUGAGCGAUACGCUGGGUUUGCUUGAAAGGAAGGCGGAGUAUAAACUAAUGGAUAGGUUUUUUCCACUCAUUGGUACAAACUCCAAAACUUCUACCAAAUUCGACCUCAAAUCAGGUAGGACUACCCGCUGAACUUAA
This 218-nucleotide unclassified non-coding RNA is filed under the name uncultured fungus. RNAcentral's name for it is "partial contains 5.8S ribosomal RNA, internal transcribed spacer 2, and large subunit ribosomal RNA". The stretch from base 1 to 52 matches the Rfam family "5.8S ribosomal RNA", at positions 103 to 154 of the family's 154-position model. Lineage: Eukaryota; Fungi. The record is from RNAcentral.